UAACAUAUAUACGUAUGCGCCAUGCGCGCAAGGCGGUUUUAAUCAUGCCGCGCGAAGUAAUUUGAGUUUGGCGAGCUGGUAGUUACCCUGUGACAAACUUGAGGUGGUGUUGCACACUUGCACAGCAAGUCGGGGGAUAUUUUCGGUUUGCGAAGCGGAGCGACGGCGCCGAGGAGCGUAGCGACGAGUGCCGCUAGCAUGGCAUCACUGUACGGUGUUUUUUCAAAUUGGUGGCCCACUGGGGGAGGUGUUGCAUAGAAAAUCGAGGGAUAUUUUCCUUAGCGAAAGCGUCGCUCCCCCUAUACAGUAGGAAAAAACAUUUUUACGCCGGAUACAUGGCAAAAUUUUACAAUACCUAUCGAUAUGUAAAUAAAUGAUAAUGAUCAUAACAGAAAUUUGUUUAUCUUUUUUUUGUUGCACGAGGCAUUAUAGAAGUGUUGCGCGCAUGCGUAUCAACGUAAAAUCGCAAACUUGGGAUAGCUAUAACUUCCAAAAUAAUGGUUUCCGCAAAUUUUUUUUGGCACCAUCGUUCUUAGCUCGUCGAAAUACGUCUAUUUCGAAACAAAAAUUUUAAAAAUGUGCUGGGUUGCUAAAGUAAAUUUGUUCCACAACUUUGGGAACCUCUGUAUUACAUUUCUAUUUAAAUUUUAAAUAUUUUUUCGCCUUGUACGCGAGUUCGGUAGUUUGCAGUGUUUGCAGUUUGCACGUCGCCGUCAUGGUGUUUUUAUUUAUUUUAGUAAAAUCGCAGAAUAGGUUAAAUUUAAUCUAUUCUGUGGUAAAAUGUUAUCUAGAGUCUGGGCAUUUCAUGUUUUCAUUAGAAGGUUAAAAGUCCAGCAUUCGAAAUAUUACAACACUAUUACACUGAUUUCGCCGAGUAUACUGCCUCAUUCUCAUUGCUAUGUACAUUACACAUAUAUCAGUUAAAACUUCAGUUGUAUGAUCUACACACGGAAAAUACAAGUUUAAAUUCUAAGCACAGAAGAAUUCUUCAAAUGUGUUAUCAAAUAGAUUCGCUCAGUCUGCAUAAUUCAGAAAACAUGCUUCAAAUGCUUGCAUAAUUUGGAACAAAUUCUGAUUUACUUGAGUUAAGAAUCCUCUAGUUUUGAAAUUGACUAAAUCUGCUGCUGGAUUGGAUGAUUUUCCUUUAGGAACUUGCAAACUGGAUUUCCAAACUUCACUUUUAAUUUUUAUGCCGAUUGAUCAGUGUCAUGCCAGAAGAUAAACAAUAUUCUUGUAGAUUUAGUUUUAGAAGGCAAAUUAAGGUACAUUAAAAACACUAAGUGUUCAGCUGGAGAUUUUGCUAAAAUAUUAUAAAACUAUGAUGUAUCUACUGUACCAAAAUUAAUACUGUUUCGUUAUGGUGGAUAAAAAAAAUCCAAACACUGCUAACUGAAGAUGACAAAACAAAUCAAAGUCAUCUUUAAAUUCUGCUCCCAUUUUGCUUUUUGUGGAAGGAUCAAAGUCUGAGCCAAAUAUAAGUUCAGUACAACAAUUGUAAAUUUACUUAACGAAAUUGGUGCCAAAUUUAGUACAUUUGAUAUACCACAAGAUCAAGUUGUUUGAGAAAAAUUAAAUACUUAUUCCAAUUGGCCAACAUAUCCACAGGUCUAUAUGGCUUGGUUCUGCUCAUGGGCAAGGGCUUCGUUUCAAAGCACUGGCCUCACCCGUCGACUUGGUACUGGAAGUGUCUGAUUGGAGCCAACAAAAACUGGUUGACGCCGAUGUAUUAUGUAUCGACAAGACCACAAAGAAUUAAAACCAUUGAAAAAACCAACUUAAACUCUCAUGCUAUCUGCAACAAUCACAUUCAAACCUCCCUAACCCAAAUCAUUCAGCAAGAUACAUUAACUGACGUAAGAAUGUGUAUCCAGGCCAAUUAGGAUAUUAUUCUGUUUGGAAAAACAUCUUCUGAAAAAACAAUUCCUACUAACAUAAUUGUUUAUCCGAGUGUCUGCAAAGGAGAGCUUCCAGAUAAACUAGAAUAAUAGUGACUAUAAUAACAUAGACUACUCAAUAGAGAUGUGUUGAUCAAACUAGUUGAAUUGAACGAUUUGCUAUAAAGUACUAUUGAGAGUACUAUACUAUUCAGAACUGAAUCUAUUUCAAAUUGAAAUCUUUGACAUGGAUUCGUCAAACACGGCGGUUAUGUUGACUUUAUAUUCUUAUAAUAAGGUCUUAUAAUCUCAGAGGUGUAGCAAGAUUCAUCAGGGUUUUUUGCCAUUUAACAAACUUUCUACCUUGUACAUUUCUUCACACUCCUCCACUAUAGACAUUCACAAACAUACAUAUACAAAUGUAUACAUCAAUUAUUUUAUUCUAUUUUUAAACAAGUAAUAAUAAUUAUAUUAAUAGAAAUAUUCACUACAUUAAUAAUUAUUACUUAUUAGUUAUUAACAUAAGUAAAUUUAAAUUAUAGUCAAUAACUGUUUUUGACGAAAUAUUUGCUACCAACAAAGUUUUAGUUAUAUUACAUUUUCUAUAAGCUAAGUAUACAAACAUUAUUUGUUUUUAUUUUUGGAAAUAUUCGUCUUCAAGUUAGAUAAAGAUAGUCAUUUUGUUAAUAACAGUUCACUUCAGCUACUUUUGACAGUUGAUGUACAAAAACGUACUGUUUUAUAAAACUAAAUUACCUUAUCAUCCCACAAAUAAAUAAAUAAAUAAACAUUUUAAAAAAACA
Molecule: long non-coding RNA, 2677 nt
Organism: Myzus persicae (green peach aphid)
Lineage: Eukaryota; Metazoa; Arthropoda; Insecta; Hemiptera; Aphididae
Exons: 9
Source: RefSeq, a predicted model, not a curated record